This 490-nucleotide ribosomal RNA is filed under the name uncultured bacterium. RNAcentral's name for it is "partial 16S ribosomal RNA". It matches the Rfam family "Bacterial small subunit ribosomal RNA", at positions 30 to 507 of the family's 1533-position model. The record is from RNAcentral.
AUUGAACGCUGGCGGCAGGCCUAACACAUGCAAGUCGAACGGUAACAGGAAGAAGCUUGCUUCUUUGCUGACGAGUGGCGGACGGGUGAGUAAUGUCUGGGAAACUGCCUGAUGGAGGGGGAUAACUACUGGAAACGGUAGCUAAUACCGCAUAACGUCGCAAGACCAAAGAGGGGGACCUUCGGGCCUCUUGCCAUCGGAUGUGCCCAGAUGGGAUUAGCUAGUAGGUGGGGUAACGGCUCACCUAGGCGACGAUCCCUAGCUGGUCUGAGAGGAUGACCGGCCACACUGGAACUGAGACACGGUCCAGACUCCUACGGGAGGCAGCAGUAGGGAAUAUUGCACAAUGGGCGCAAGCCUGAUGCAGCAAUGCCGCGUGUAUGAAGAAGGCCUUCGGGUUGUAAAGUACUUUCAGCGGGGAGGAAGGGAGGAAAGUUAAUACCUUUGCUCAUUGACGUUACCCGAAGAAGAAGCACCGGCUAACUCCGUG